Molecule: RNA transcript, 3034 nt
Organism: Heterocephalus glaber (naked mole-rat)
Lineage: Eukaryota; Metazoa; Chordata; Mammalia; Rodentia; Bathyergidae
Gene: Slc26a6
Gene name: solute carrier family 26 member 6
Source: RefSeq, a predicted model, not a curated record
CUGACGUAGGCUGGCCUCAGGCCCUGGUUGGUCUGAUCGCGCACCCCGGCCCGGAAUUGGCCCGGGUCUCUUCUGGCUCCGAGUGGAGCGGCCUCUCGCUGGACCUGCUAGGAGCUGCCGCUGCCAGGCCGCGUGGGCGCUAUGGGGCCGUUGGAUGGGUGCGAGUGAGUGCGGGCUCCCUGGGCCCGAGUGUCCACCGCUGCGCCCCGGCUUGCAGCCCUGCCGGUUUCCUGCGGGUGGCGGCCCAUCUGCGCGGAGGGAUGGGGCGGGAGCCGGCCGUGCUGGAGCCCAGACCGGAGAUCUCCGGGACACCGCGGUGCGGGUGCCGGUGCCGAGAACCUGAGGAUCUUCCUCGCUCCUGCUCUGCUCCCCCUCCAGUUGGGACACCCAGGUUAGAGGCUCUUCCCAGACUGAGGGACACACAGGCACUGCUGUCUACAAUACCAACCAUGGAGCUUCAGAAACGCGACUAUCUUGUAGAACGGCCACUGCUGAACCAGGAGCAGCUGGAGCACCUGGGGCACUGGGGCCCAACACCUAGGACCCAUCAAUGGCGAACCUGGUUUCAGUGCUCCCAUUCUCGGGCCCAUGGCUAUCUACUCAAAUACCUCCCAGUCUUGGGCUGGUUACCCCACUAUCGUGUGCGUGAGUGGCUCCUGGGUGACUUGUUGUCUGGCCUGAGUGUGGCCAUCAUGCAGCUUCCACAGGGCUUGGCCUAUGCCCUCCUGGCUGGAUUACCCCCUGUGUUUGGCCUCUACAGCUCCUUCUACCCUGUCUUUGUAUACUUCCUGUUUGGUACUUCCCGACACAUCUCUGUGGGGACCUUUGCUAUCAUGUCUGUAAUGGUGGGCAGUGUGACAGAAUCCAUCACUCAGGAUGAGGACUUCCAGCAGAACACAAACUCUACUGUCAGUGCCCGUGUGCAGCUGGCCUCCACACUCAGUGUCCUGGUGGGCCUCUUCCAGGUGGCACUGGGCCUGGUGCACUUCGGCUUUGUGGUCAACUACCUGUCUGAGCCACUGGUGCGAAGCUACACCACAGCUGCAUCUGUGCAGGUCUUCGUCUCACAGCUCAAGUAUGUGUUCGGCCUCCAGUUGAGCAGCCGCUCAGGGCCCCUGUCCCUUAUCUAUACUUUUCUGGAGGUCUGCUGGAAUUUGCCCAAGAGUGUGGUUGGCACCGUGGUCACUGCAGUUGUGGCAGGGGUGGCGCUCGUGAUGGUGAAGAUAUUGAAUGACAAGCUGCAUCGGCAUCUCCCUCUGCCAAUACCUGGGGAGCUGCUCACGCUCAUUGCAGCCACAGGCAUCUCCUAUGGUGUGAACCUGAGAAACAGAUUUGAGGUGGACACUGUGGGCACCAUCCCCACAGGGCUGAUCGCCCCCAUGAUACCCAACCCCCAGCUGUUCGGAAAGCUGGUGGGACAUGCCUUCGCCAUCGCUGUGGUCGGGUUUGCCAUUGCCAUCUCACUGGGGAAGAUCUUCGCUCUCAGACACGGCUACCGGGUGGACAGCAACCAGGAGCUGGUGGCCCUCGGCCUCAGUAACUUUGUUGGAGGCUUCUUCCAGUGCUUCCCUGUGAGCUGCUCCAUGUCCCGGAGCCUGGUACAGGAGACCACCGGGGGCAACACACAGGUUGCUGGAGCAGUCUCUUCCCUCUUUAUCCUCCUCAUCAUCCUUAAACUGGGGGAACUCUUCCGAGAACUGCCCAAGGCAGUUCUGGCAGCCAUCAUUAUUGUGAACCUGAAGGGCAUGUUGAAGCAAUUCACUGACAUAUGCACCCUCUGGAAGGCAAAUCGAGUAGACCUGCUUAUCUGGGUGGUAACCUUUGUGGCCACCAUCCUGUUAAACCUGGACCUUGGCCUGGCAGUUGCGAUAGGCUUCUCCCUGCUGCUUGUGGUGGUACGAACACAGAUGCCCCGGUACUCUGUCCUGGGGCAGGUGCCAGACACGGACAUUUACAGAGAUGUGGCGGAGUACUCAGAGGCCAAGGAGAUCCCCGGUGUGAAAGUCUUCCGGUCCUCAGCCACCUUGUACUUUGCCAACGCUGAGCUCUACAGUGACACAUUGAAGCAGAGGUGCGGGGUGGAUGUUGACCGUCUUCUGGCCCAGAAGAAGAAGCGGCUGAGGAAACAGGAACGGAAGCUAAAGCAACAGCAGAAACACAAACAGGCUGCCUCUUCCAAUGGCACCUCAGUUUCUAUCAGUGUGGACACCAGCCUCGGAGACAUCAAGGGCAGUGGUGUGGAGGACUCCAGGGUCAAGGUGAGCCCAGCAAAUGAACUGGAGGAUGUGGUAGUCAGCAGGCAAGAAGAUGCCAAGGCCCCAGAUGUGUCCACGCUGAAGGCCCUGGGCCUGCCCCGGCCGGACUUCCACAGUCUCAUCUUGGACCUGGGGGCCCUCUCCUUUGUGGACACUGUGUGCAUCAAGAGCCUGAAGAAUAUUUUCCGUGACUUUCGUGAGAUAGAGGUGGAGGUGUACAUUGCGGCCUGCCACAGUGCGUUGGCUGGGGACCACGGGAGCAAUGUAGGAAGAGGGUGGGAUCCUUUUGCCUGGAAGGUUUGCCAGGCAACACAAGGAGAAAGUGUCUCUGAAGCCAGACGUCAGAGGUGUCCUGGGAGGCCCUGUGGUCACCCAGCUUGAGGCUGGGUGCUUCUUUGAUGCAUCUAUCACUAAGAAGCAUCUCUUUGUCUCUGUCCAUGACGCUGUGACCUUUGCCCUCCAACACUCAAGGUCUGGUCCCAACAGCCCUGUUUUGGCCACCAAACUCUGACUGUGCUGCCAGCUGCCUGACACUGCCCACCUCUGGAGGUUGUAAUGGAGAACCCUUGAGAAGCCCCCAGCCCUGGGCCACCUCCAGGUGCCACCCAGGAGUCCCCUCCAUGCACACACACAUGUACCUCAGGGAUGGACGUCCUGGGACUCCAAGUUCAGUGGUAUCAGCCCUAGGCAAGGUGGCUACAGUCAGCCUGGCCUUGGCUGGGUACAGGGAGGAGCCAGUGUGUAUUUUAAGGCUCAGGAAUAAAGAUGUGUCUGCUCAU